RNAcentral lists this long non-coding RNA (6179 nucleotides) under Canis lupus familiaris (dog). RNAcentral's name for it is "lncRNA (ENSCAFG00040014675.1)". The record is from RNAcentral. Lineage: Eukaryota; Metazoa; Chordata; Mammalia; Carnivora; Canidae.
GGCCUCGCCUCUCCACUCCCCUCCGAGGCCGACGCCGCCGGCGCUCCAGCUUCCCGCCGACUCGGGCCGCCUGUUGCGCGCGCCCCGGGGCCCCGGAGGCCGCGGGAGGAGUCCCGCCCAGGGCGGCCCGGCGGCGCGGGGGAGACACCCGCGCCGGCUCCAACGCUGAAGUUGCAGCAGACUCGGAGGGGACUGUCGGGGGCCCUGGGGGCUCCGGGGGACCAAGGAAGCGCCGCGCGGCCCCGAGCCCCCUCCCUCCAGCCCGGCUCCUCAGUUUUCCCCCUUCAAAGUUAGCCAGGCUCGACUGGCCGCAGCGGCUCAGGGCUGCGGGUCCGACGCCGUCUGAGCUGCCUGGUAGACGGGAGGAUGAGUCUGGAUCGCACUUGGGGCGAAGACUUGAAGGACCGUGGGGGUGCAGCCUCUCAGGCACUGCCUGGCCCGCCGCGGCGCACCCGCACAGGCGCUGGCGAACGCGCUCUCUGUUCACCUGGCAUGCGCAAAGACCUCCCUCCAGCUCUCCCGGCUCGCUGCAGAGGGAGACCCCGCCUGGAACGCGCCCUCCGAGGUCGGAGGGGGGGGCACGCUGACCUUUUCAAGAAAAAGGAAAGGAGAAGGCGCCCCCGAGGUGGUCAUUCUUCCGGCUCUUGGCCGGUGAGUCUUCACCUCAGCUGAGAACCGCGGCGGCCAUCCUCCCGGACCGUCACCUCCACCCUCCUUCCCCGGCAAACGCAGCACAUAUUCUCCCAGAGCAGGGCCCUCGGCCCGGUUCGGUUCGCUCUUGUCUGAUGCUUGUUUAUCAAAUGGGGUCUGUGUCGCAGGGAAUGAACCGGGGAGAGGGCUGGACGAAUUUGGUCACCCCUCACUCCAUGCUGUUGGAGAAUUUAGCUCCCUGUAAAUAAACUAUGCUGGAGAAGAGAGGGUGGAACGGCCGCCGUGGAGCAGCGCCAUGCCAGGAGAGCCCCAGCCCUGCGGGAGCUGUGAGCGGGGCGCGCAGCCCCCGUAGGGGUGGCCGGCAGCUGGAGCCUGCGCCGGUGUGCGGGGCACCCUGGCCUUCCCGCGGGGUCUCAGGCCCGGGGACUGCCCGCUACUCUCGGGCAGUGCUGGCGACGGCCUGUGCCAGUGCCGGGAAGCGGGAGGCCGGCCUGGCGGGGGCUGACAUUAAAUUCAGCUUCCAGACUAAGAUGCCGGGAGGACAGAGGGGGACUCCUCCGCGCUCCGUUCUGUGGCUCUUACUUAAGGUCACCAGCAGGAAGAAGCAAAAUCACCCCGCUGAACAAGUUGACAGGCCCUGGGGCAGUGGAGAGUAAAGUGAAAGAGGGAGAUCCCAGAAGGAGACAAAGAGCACCACAAAGGGGACAGACAGAGCAGAAGUGACAGAAAAAUCAUUUUAGCAGCCAAGAAGUUAUGUACCUUUUCUGAAUGAGAAGAAAACAAUGACUUGCCAUCUGAGAACGCAUCCUGAUUUGGAGUCCAAUGAUUUGCAUAUUGGUACACUGGACUUGGGGAGGGGAAGCAUAUUAAUUUGUGUCUGUUGCCUGCAGCUGGGGCCAAAACAGCCGUAGAGAACCAAUGACCUUUCUCCCCAAAGCUGGCAAUUAGGAAGAGUAGGAAGUGAGAGCGCCCUGUGUCACAGGAGACACCAGCUGGCUAAGCUUGGCUGGUCUCCGUUAGCAAAGAUCACAAAAUGCAGCGACAUCAGUACCAGGCGGUAUCUACUUAGGGCUAACAGCCUAGGCAGCAGUGAUCAAAUUAAGUCUCAUUCCUAAUGACGGGUUGGUAGGACAACUAGCAGUCUUAGAGAGGAGCGGGCCCAGCUUGAGGCCCACGGAGCUCUGUGUGUUCUCUACCCUGGGAAAAGGUGGAACUUGAGAAAACCUUACUGUCUAGCUGUGCAGUUGCAUUUGGGGGAACAGGCAAUAAGUUCUGGAAGGCUGGCUGAAAAGAGUAGACAGGAUGAUAGCUCAAAAUGAGAUCCAUCAAUGACUUCGUUGUAGCCCCAGCCAAACAAUCAAAAGCAAAUAGUCAGCUUCUGAAAUCAAUGCUUCAGGAGAUGAUGAGCCAGCCCACGGGGUUCACAGGCGGGUGGGUGGGAGGUUGGGGAGGAAGGGUAGAAAAAUUCUCUAUUUCGAGCCACCAACCAAAACAAGCAGCUGCAUUUCCUUGAGAUUUGGUUCCUAGCAAAAUCAGAACUGCAGUCUCCUAGCAAAGUAAAACAAAGGAGCAGGGGACGAGACACUUUUGAAAACAGGAAGGCGUUUUGGCAACAAUCACAGGAGGGCUGGUAAACCAUUGUGCUCUUGGGAUCCAUCUGCUGAGCUCCAGAACAUCCUCCCCACUCUCCACCCCCAACCAGCUCUCAGAUUGCAUGCUCAGGGUCAAGAGCAGGGUCAUUCAGAAAUAAAAGGUAAAGUGAAAAAGACAGACUCAUCCCAAAGAUGAGAAGUGAGAAAAGCUGGGCCUUAUUUCUUCCAACCAUGGAGGACAUGAUGAGAGAGACAGGAAAGCUCUUCUGAUGUUCGAUGCCAUUUCAGGAGAGCAAGAGUGGGCUUAAUUUAAUUAAGUGAAAUAUACUUAAAAUUAAAAUUGGUGGCCAAUUUCUAAUAAGCCUAGAAUUUGCUGCUGUGAGAAACCAUUGAGAGAAGCACAGUGACUGCAUCUUUAAGGAACUGAAUAAUUUGAUAGCUAUUAAUAAUCUUGUUAGUCAUGCGAUACAAGUAAACCCUAGCAAGGUAAUCAAAUUGCAUGCUCCAUAGCAGAGAUCAGGGCUAUCUGGGGGGAAAAUUAUAUAGUCUCUCUUCAAUGUCAAUGUAUAUGAAAACAUCUUCCACAGACCCCUCUUCCCAAUGUAAAGGGAAUAGAAAGUUACAUCAUCAUAGCACACAUAUCAACAUACAUACAUGACAAUACAAUAUCAUAUAUAUAUAUACAUAUGUUUUUUAAAUAGAGCGUCAUACUUGAUCUCAUGGUCUGUGAAACCACCAGAUUAAAACCCCAGCAAAGGUAAUCACCUACAAGAGUCAGAAGAGAAUUCACAACUCUGAAUUUUACAUCUUCACUUGUACAUUACAGGAGAUUCACGUAUAGGACUCCUUUCCUUUAUAACUUAGGGCUCUUAAUAUUACUUAGUGGACCAUUAACCUGUUUCAAUAUAGCUUUAGAUUUUUCUAGCCAAGGAGAGUAAAAUAAAGAUGCUUAAUUUAGUUCCUUUUCCCACAAGAAAUAAAUAGCUGUCACAGAUCCAGAACAGCAGGGUUCAUGAACCGCUUUGGAACCUGGAGAUCAAUGAAAUCUGAUCCUCUCUUGAGAAAAAGAGAUCUACAUAGAAUUUAACCAAAGAUUUCCUACCAGAGGCAGUCCUGGUCAUCAGGAAGCCUUUGAAGACCCUCCCAGGUUUCCUGUUCAGUCUUGUUUGAUCUCCAGUGAACAUUAUAAUUACCAUAAAGCAGUUUUUUAAAUGUAAAUUACUCCAUAGUUGCAAAAUAACUAUGUCCAGUCUAGGCAACUAAUUUCUGAUUUCUGGAAUUUCCCAAAAGAUCGGUCUAAAAUAGAUGGCAUACAUAACAAGAUAAUUCAACCUCUGAAGCAAAUUUACUUGUAAAGAUGAUGGUUAUGGUGAGGACUAUUUCUUCCUUGCUCCUUCAAUCUCUCAUCCCAGUAACUAAUAUUUACACAUGAAAGGAUGUUAUGUUUUAAUACAUCCUCAUGUAAUAUAGGUUUCUUACCAAUUGUAAUUAAAAAUGGACCUAGCUUCAGUUUAUUUUUUGUCCUCACUUAAGCCAUCACCCUUAGGAAAUGUAACUUAAUGGUUCUAAGUGGCUAUACUUGAUGCUUAAGACUGAGACUAAAUAGCAGUGUUAGAUGUGGAUUUUGCCCUCCAAGGUCUUACAGUCUAGUUGUGGGUAUCAUAAAAGGAAAACUACAAAUACAAGGAAGCAUUUAUCAGGUGUCAGAGAAGCAGUGUUCAUCAUUGAUAUAGCCUAAGUCCAAAGAACGACUGAGCACCUAGAAGCCGUGGGAAAGUCUUUCAGGGGAGGAAAAGGGUCUUUGUAAAGGCACAUAAGCUGCGGUAAUUUCAUUGCUUUAGGGAAAUAAUGAAGAGUAGUUUGGCUCAUGUAUUUAUUCUACAAACACUAUUAAAGUGAUGUGGUAUAGUUUUUAAUGGCACAAGCUCUAAGGAUAAAUAGAUCUGAGUUCAAGUCCUGAUUUUACCAUUACCCUUGUUGAGUGAACUUAGACAAAUUAAUAUAAUAGCCCUUUCAUAAAGCUGGGGAAUUACAUGAGAUGACACCUGUAGAGUGAGAUGCUAUCUUAAAGUACUUUAUGUUUUACAUGAACAUAGCACAAAGAACUUAGGGAUAUUUACCUCUUAUAUGUACUGAGCACCACAAUGUGCCAGAUACAAUUGAAAGUGCCAAGCUGCUACUAACAAAGAGAAAGCCUCUACCCCUGGAUCUCACAGAAACUUCAUAUAGUGGAGUAAUGGGAGUUGAUGUUGAAAAGGUAGGUAGAGACUAUUUAUUGUGCAGAGCCUUGAUUGCUAGAACACAUAUUUAGAACCUUAUAGUGGAGGUCAGUGGUGUCAUCAAAGGCUUUGGAACUGGUUAAUAAUUAAUAACAUUUUUAUGAUUUGUGGUUUACUUGGAAAUAACAAAUUAGGAUGGCUUCUUCUACCUUCUGCUAAUUUUUACACAAAUGUGAUUCCAGUACAACAUAUACCAAAACCAUAUGAAUAGAGUGAGUUCAGGAGUUAGGGCUGCUAAGAAUGGGGAGUAACACUAACACCUGAGGUAAUGGAAAUCGGAGAAGGCUGGUAUCAGUAAUGGCAGCUGGAUGUCUUCCUUGGCUUGUAUCCAAGGAAUUCAUGAAGUUCCAAAAUGUUUUAAGGAAGCAGAGGGCAGGAUGUAUCAGCAGAAGAUUCCAGGUAAUAAGCACAGAUAGAGUUCUGUUAGAGAUCUGUCUGUGACAGAGGGUAGAGUGAAUAGAACCUGUGGCUUGGACACAGUUACCCUGAAUACAUCUCUAACACAUUUCAUUUUCAUGUCAGGGUAAGGGACUUCACUAUUUAUACAACACAUUUAAGUAAUUUAAUGUGUUUGUACCUUUAUAAUUUUCAUACCCUAUACUAAAUCCUCAAUCGCUUUACCUUACUUAUGUCUGGAAUGAUAUCCCUAGGCUCUGGGCCUGGACCUAGAGGUGAGUCCCAUUAGUAGAUCUAGUCAUAAGUAACUGGAGAAAACAAAGGCAAUAGUGAAAAGAAAAAGACUGACACUAAAGACUGCUUGGAAUAUCAUGCCCUGGCAUUUUGUUUGUCAUAAAUGUUCCUUGAAAUAAAAUACUCUAUUGAUUGAGAUCUAGGUAUCUUUUUGUUAUAAAGAGAUUUUGUUGUAAUAGGAACUUGGAGGAAAUAGAUAUUUGAGUUUAGGAAACUUUUCUUAAAUUAUCAUUCGCAUACUUGACAGUAUUUAUUGAGUUUCUACUGUGUGCUAAGCACUAGGGAAAGGCGAAUGAACAAGAAAAAUACAAACAUGGUUUCUGCCUUCAUGAAACUUUUAAAACAGGGAGGGAGAAACUGGAAAAAAAAAAGACAAACUGACACCUACAACAAUUUCAAGUUAAAGUAAAUGAUGUUUAAGACUCAAACAUGGGCUGAAAUAAUGAUGAUGAUAGCCAGGCACUGUUCUAAAUGCUUUAUGCAUCAUAACUAAUCCUUACAGCAACCUUCUGAAGUAUGUACUAUUAUUAUGCCUGUUUUACUAUGAAACUGAGAUGCAGAGAGGCUAAGUAACUUGGGUAACAUAGGUAGUGGUAGGCAGAGCCAGGAAUGGAUUUGUCUGACUCUAGAGCAUGUUUUCCUAGCUAUUGUACCAAAGAAGAAGUUGGAUAAACUGACUUUAGAACAGUUGAUACAAAAAAAAAAAAGAACAGAUGAUCAGAAAAGGCCUAGGGAAGUAACAUUUAAUUUGAGAUCUAAAGACCACCUAAGGCAGUCUACAUUGAUGACACUUCACUGACUGCCAAGAGAUGGUCUGUUGAGCAAACUUGAUUUUCUUCAAGAUAUUUGCUAGCCACUGGGUGAUAUGAUAUAUGUUGGCAAAUUGAACUCCAAUUAAAAAAAUUUUUUAAAGAUAUUUGCUAGCAAUUAGACCAGGAAAGUUUUAGUAAAAACAGUAAGAGCUUUG